GGUGAGUAACGCGUUGGUGACCUGCCCCAAAGUGUGGGAUAACAGUCUGAAAGGAUUGCUAAUACCUCAUGUGGCCAUCGGGUUUAGAAACCGAUGUCUAAAGCAGCAAUGCGCUUUGGGAGGGACCUGCGUCCCAUCAGCUAGUUGGUGAGGUAACGGCUCACCAAGGCGACGACGGGUAGGGGGCCUGAGAGGGUGGCCCCCCACAAUGGAACUGAAACACGGUCCAUACACCUACGGGUGGCAGCAGUAGGGAAUAUUGCACAAUGGGCGAAAGCCUGAUGCAGCAACGCCGCGUGAGCGAUGAAGGCCUUCGGGUCGUAAAGCUCUUUUCUGGGAGAUGAGAAAGGACAGUAUCCCAGGAAUAAGUCUCGGCUAACUACGUGCCAGCAGCCGCGGUAAAACGUAGGAGGCAAGCGUUAUCCGGAUUCACUGGGCGUAAAGCGCGUGCAGGCGGUUUGGUAAGUUGGGCGUGAGAUCUCCCGGCUCAACUGGGAGGGGUCGUUCAAAACUACCAGACUCGAGAGCGAUAGAGGAAAAUGGAAUUCCCGGUGUAGUGGUGAAAUGCGUAGAUAUCGGGAGGAACACCAGUGGCGAAAGCGAUUUUCUGGAUCGUUUCUGACGCUCAGACGCGAAAGCUAGGGUAGCAAACGGGAUUAGAGACCCCGGUAGUCCUAGCUGUAAACGAUGUGAACUUGGCGUUGGUGGCUUAAACUCCAUCAGUGCCGCAGCUAACGCGAUAAGUUCACCGCCUGGGGACUACGGCCGCAAGGAU
Molecule: ribosomal RNA, 775 nt
Filed under: uncultured bacterium
Lineage: Bacteria
Description: bacterial SSU rRNA
Rfam family: Bacterial small subunit ribosomal RNA
Source: RNAcentral